GCUGGGCGUGGUGGCUCACGCCUGUAAUCUCAGCACUUUGGGAGGCUGAGGCGGGUGGAUCACCUGAGGUCAGGAGUUUCAGACCAGCCUGGCCAACAUGGUGAAACCCCGUCUUUA
RNAcentral lists this non-coding RNA (117 nucleotides) under Pan paniscus (pygmy chimpanzee). The record is from Rfam by way of RNAcentral. Lineage: Eukaryota; Metazoa; Chordata; Mammalia; Primates; Hominidae. RNAcentral also lists the same sequence under 1 other name.